ACAUUGAGCGGCAUGAAGUAACACCGCUUUUUUGUGAAUUUGGAUUUGUUAUGUUGAGCUACUAGUUUAGUUGAAAUGGAUCAAAGAGCCGUUUUAGUAAUUCAUAGUUAAGAUGUAUUACAUCAAUUCCCAUCUAGAUAUAAAUAUAGUACAACGAUUUGUAUGGUACAUGUACAUGUAGUGGUGAACUUUGUAAGGUCGAUAAAAGAAGAAAUACAAAAAAGAAAUAGCCGAUACUAUAGGAAUUAUUAUUAUAAGGGCAUGUAAGUCGGCAAAAAUAGGUAAUUUACAUGUAUGCAAAGCCUGUACAAAUUUAUGUAUAAGAUAUGUGAACCAUAGGAAGAAGAAAUAAAUAAUUAAAGACAAUACGAGCAAAUCUCCAAAUUCCAAAUCACAUUUGCCAAACAUCUUUGAAGAAAAGCCAGUCGUCGUCAAACCGCAAGAAACACCACAGCCAACUCUAGUUUAUUAAUUGAACAUUAAAAAAA
Long non-coding RNA from Magallana angulata, 488 nucleotides. RefSeq lists it as uncharacterized. The transcript is spliced from 3 exons. The record is from RefSeq and is a predicted model, not a curated record. NCBI's taxonomy places the organism in Eukaryota, Metazoa, Mollusca, Bivalvia, Ostreida, Ostreidae.